RNAcentral lists this ribosomal RNA (446 nucleotides) under uncultured bacterium. RNAcentral's name for it is "partial 16S ribosomal RNA". It matches the Rfam family "Bacterial small subunit ribosomal RNA", at positions 338 to 795 of the family's 1533-position model. The record is from RNAcentral.
CCUACGGGUGGCUGCAGUCGAGAAUCAUUCACAAUGGGGGAAACCCUGAUGGUGCGACGCCGCGUGGGGGAAUGAAGGUCUUCGGAUUGUAAACCCCUGUCAUGUGGGAGCAAAUUAAAAAGAUAGUACCACAAGAGGAAGAGACGGCUAACUCUGUGCCAGCAGCCGCGGUAAUACAGAGGUCUCAAGCGUUGUUCGGAAUCACUGGGCGUAAAGCGUGCGUAGGCUGUUUCGUAAGUCGGGUGUGAAAGGCGCGGGCUCAACCCGCGGACGGCACAUGAUACUGCGAGACUAGAGUAAGGGAGGGGGAACCGGAAUUCUCGGUGUAGCAGUGAAAUGCGUAGAUAUCGAGAGGAACACUCGUGGCGAAGGCGGGUUCCUGGACAUUAACUGACGCUGAGGCACGAAGGCCAGGGGAGCGAAAGGGAUUAGAUACCCCGGUAGUC